This 543-nucleotide ribosomal RNA is filed under the name uncultured bacterium. Its description in RNAcentral is "bacterial SSU rRNA". It matches the Rfam family "Bacterial small subunit ribosomal RNA", at positions 777 to 1319 of the family's 1533-position model. The record is from RNAcentral.
AAUAGAUACCCUGGUAGUCCACCCCGUAAACGUUGGGAACUAGUUGUGGGUCCAUUCCACGGAUUCCGUGACGCAGCUAACGCAUUAAGUUCCCCGCCUGGGGAGUACGGCCGCAAGGCUAAAACUCAAAGGAAUUGACGGGGACCCGCACAAGCGGCGGAGCAUGCGGAUUAAUUCGAUGCAACGCGAAGAACCUUACCAAGGCUUGACAUACACGAGAACAACCUGGAAACAGGGGACUCUUUGGACACUCGUGAACAGGUGGUGCAUGGUUGUCGUCAGCUCGUGUCGUGAGAUGUUGGGUUAAGUCCCGCAACGAGCGCAACCCUCGUUCUAUGUUGCCAGCACGUAAUGGUGGGAACUCAUGGGAUACUGCCGGGGUCAACUCGGAGGAAGGUGGGGAUGACGUCAAAUCAUCAUGCCCCUUAUGUCUUGGGCUUCACGCAUGCUACAAUGGCCGGUACAAAGGGCUGCAAUACCGUGAGGUGGAGCAAAUCCCAAAAAGCCGGUCCCAGUUCGGAUUGAGGUCUGCAACUCGACCUC